Molecule: long non-coding RNA, 3439 nt
Filed under: Hordeum vulgare
Lineage: Eukaryota; Viridiplantae; Streptophyta; Magnoliopsida; Poales; Poaceae
Description: long non-coding RNA (HVUL_LNC009245)
Source: RNAcentral
AUUUAGGGUUUGUCGACACCGAGGCAUCCUAAAAGCUAAGCUUUUAUCAUUUAGGGUUUGUCGAUGCCGAGGCACCCUAAAAGCCUAAGCUUUCAUCAUUUAGGUUUUUAUCGACACCGAGGCACCCUAAAAGCCAAGGUUUUAUAAUUUAGGGUUUGUCGACGCUAAGGCACCCUAAAUGCUAAGUUAAGUUUUCAUCAUUUAGGGUUUAUCGAUGCCGAGGCACCCUAGGUUGACUGAUAUAUAUGGGUAUCUUCUAAUAAUAUACCCUAUCAAGAAAAGGGAAGGAGAAUUCUAAGUUGGGCCUAAUCACUUAGCUCUAUUGCCACCUAUGGUUUAAUGCACCAAGAAUAAAGGGGCAGUUGAUCCUACUUAAUUAAGUACUAAGAUACCCCGGCCCAUGCAUUAGUCGCAAGUACCCCAUAUGUCCUAUUUUUAGCAAAGUAAUGCUAAAAUUCACGGAAAAUUUCAGCUUGACCUUUGCUGAAAAUAGGACAUAUGGAGUACCCAAAUUUGCCGGAACAGAAGUUAAUCGACAUUCCGGCAAACUCAAGGGUCUCUCGGGGUACGUGCAAAAUCAUCACGACACGAUGGUCGGAGACAAAACCCAGCAAACUAGCACCACAAUGUGCCUCUACUUUCAUAUGGAUGAAAAGGCCACAGACCAUAUGGUCCUCUGCUUUCAUAUGGACAAAAAUCAGCUCAACUUAUGUGAGCUUCCAUUCCAGAUCUAAUAGGUCACCCAACAAAAAAUCAUCAAUAGUUUAGCAAGUCUGUACCCUCAAGAAUGAACAUAUAGCAAUAUCUAUUGUCCCCCCAUAACAUACGAAAAUCAAAAUCAGCUCAACUUAGAUGACAAUGUAUAUACUUUAUCACAUUAUAUAGAUGGUGCAACAACGUAUAUACUUUAUCACAUUAUAAGUCCUCACACCAUUAACUAUGACAAAAUCUGAAAGUAUAAGUCUGGUUACAUUCACCCAAGUCCAAACAUAAAAUUCUGUCCAACAUAGUACAACCCACUUUGAUAAUUUCAUAGGAUUUAAUAUACCGAACGAAACCUGACAAGUGAUAUGUGUUUCAAGUAUCAACAGAACAGCCUCUAAAAUUUUCAUGUUGUAACUUUAUUUUAAUACCACCUCUAACAGGGCCUUAUCUCCCAUAUCGAAAUACGGUACCCAGGAACAUAUAUUUCGGCACAGCAAACUAAACUGAUAGCUGCUCUCAAACCGUACAUCCAAACGACACAAAUAAAUACUCUAAAGAAACCUUGAAACUUUAUCUAAAACUUAUGUAAAGGGGCCAACUCAAAAUUCUGAGCCUAGCUAACUCAUUUUUCAGAUAUAAGCUUGCUUAUUUUCCAUUGCACCUGAAGAACUAGCUGUUGUUGCUCGUGUGCCCGUGCUGCUGAUGCUCCUCUUGUGCUGAUCCAAGUGGCUGUGUUGUGCUGCUGCUGAUUAGAACAAUUUUGCUCCUCUGCACUCUGAAGAAGGUACUCUGUCAGAGUAUUGUACCUGAAAAUUAAUGAAGUUUAUUCAGUGUUAACUGAAUCAUGACAAUGCCAAUAAAGGAGUCAAUUCAGUUGUUAACUUAAAAUUCAUGAAGUACAUUCAUUUUAAUACAAAAACUGUUGCUGAUCGUUGUGAACAAAAAUCAUGGAUUGAUGUUAACUCAAAAGUAGUGAAAGAAAUUGUUGCUGAUCAUGGAUUACUGUUAAGUAAAAUAGAGCAUCUCGCUUGUCUUAUCAUGUUGAGUAAAAUGAAUGACACUGUGUUGCGCUGCUGCUUGACUUAUCAAUUAGUGUGAACUCUGAAAUAGCAUGAAUAUUUGAAACGACAUGCCUCUAAAUGACACUUGAGUAAAAUGAAUACUUGCAGGUUCAUCCAACGUAUUGCUACACUAAUAGUAAAACGAAUACCUGCAGGUUAGUGUUAGUACUCCAAAACUUGAGUCUCAUGAAUGAUGAGUCUCAUUUACUGAAUUUACUCCAACACUAAGUCCACAAAAAUGAAUCGGUUCAGUAAACUUGAAGUACUCAACACUGAACAUGGUUCAGAGCUCACUACACUACACUACAUCGCGCAAUGGUUCAGACCUCACUAAACUAGAACAAGCUCACUACACUACACUACACUACACUACACAUGCUUAAACUCUGAACAUAAACAAACACCAGUAAUGCCAGACCAAGACUUUGCUCGAAAAUUCUAAGAAGUAUUUAUGAGUUUUAGCUGACCUGAGGAACUCUGCAAGAAUGGUUAGGUACCCCUGAUAAAUGCAGUAAAAAAGAAGGCAAUGCAAUUAGACAUGUCUUGAUGAAGCCAUUUACAGCAGCGUUCAACUGAACAUACAACUGAACAUAAAUGCAGUAAAACAGAAGGCAAUGUAGUUACUUCCUAUUACUUCCUACUAGUUCGAAUUCGUGGCACUCACCCUUCUAGACAAUAUAUAAACUACCUCUGUUUCUAGGCAACAAGAGUUAUCAUCAGUUUAGUUUUUGGUCGUGGUAACAAAGAAAACAGAGCUUGAGUGCUUGACAACACAAUAACAAAAGUUAUCAUCUGUUCAGUUUAGUUUUCUUCAUUCGCUUGUGUGUGUGUGUGUGCACCCAUUGUUGGUUCGUUCAUGCUCUGAAACUGAAAACUAAAUCUGGUAGUUUGAAAACUGAAAACAGAGCUAUGCUGAUGAACAUGAACCAACUCCAAAAUUAAGCUAGUUUGGAGCACCAGACACCAGGGGAGCAAGCUCAGUCGAGAGGGAUGGGCCAUGGAGUUGAUCAGGUGGGAUAAAGUUCCAUCACAUAGUAACAAGCUCAGGAGAGCGUAAGCAAGUCAUUUUUUUUAACUGAAACCAAGUGUCUUAGUACAAACUACUGAUCAACAGCACAAACCUAAGAAUCUAACAGGAGGAGAUCGAAGCAGUGAGGGAGCGAGGGGACGGUGCCGUACCUCGCGGGAUGGAUUCGGUCGCGGCUUGAACUCGGUUGUGGAUCCAGGCGAGGAGAAGGGAGGUGGGAGCUCUGGCGCCGGUGCCGCGAGACGGUCGGCAUGCAGUGGAUUAUUUUUUCCCUCGGCGUCGUCGAUCUGGACCUGGAAGAGGAUGGAUUAACCAAGGUAAGCGCAAAAAUCUCUGCAUAGGGCAAGGGGCGAAGGCGCCGGCGGCUUCAUACAAGGAGAUCGAAGGCGAAGCACGUAGGGCAAGGGGUGGUCGUAGUCGUACAUGUACCUGGCUAGCACAUAAUGGAUCUGUCGCGGAGGAACCCAGCACCUGGCCCGGUGAGGAGAAGCUCAGGCGUCGGCGACGCGUGCACCGCGAGACAAGGGCAGCAGUGGAGUGAGAACUGAGAAGCAAGAUGGGAGGCGCGGGGGCGCAGCGGCGGUCAGUGGGCGGGUGAGAGAUGGAUUGGGGAAGAUAGAAAGGGGACUGGGGAUUUUAGUUGGGG